CUAUCACCUCGAAAGAGAAUAUUUCUGGGAAUAUUAAGAAGGGGUCACAAGGCAGACUCAGGGGUUGGGUUUUGUGUGUAACCAUGGUAUGGAAUCCACACGCAGUCCAUGUUGCUAGCUCCGGUUUUGGAGGCUGAGAGGUGACUAAGUCAGGCGUUCAACCUAGAUUCUUCAACCUAGUCCUUCACUUAAGCACUUGGCUGAAAGAUUGGCUUCAGAAGACAGUACUCCAGCUGGGAUGUUGCACAUGGAACAGAUUGAUCUUGAAAUCUGGUCCUGAAGUCAACUUCACAGCAGGAAUUUCACACAUGCAGGCACAAACCAGCACUUGUGAAAAUCUCCAUGAAAUAGCUGCUAAUAUUGUCUAAACUGGCUUUCAGCUCGGUAGCCAGUCUUCCAGAUAAAUGUCAAAUUAACUGGAUAAUUAUACCUCAAUAUGAACUCAAUGUCCAACAUUAGCUUUUUGGGAGAUUUAUUUUUCUUUAAACUGUGCUGGCUUCGUAAUCUUAUAGAAACAUUGUUUAUCUCAGAUUCUGAGAAGUAUUCAAAUAAGUAAAAGAGUAAAUGAAAUGGAUUAUCAUUUUCCUCUUUCCUCUUCCCUCCCUCCCUUCCUCCUUCUUUCCCUGUACCUAGUGUGUGUGCAAAGAACUAUGCUGGGUGUUGUGGAAUAAAACAAGUUAACAUAUAACCUUUCAGUAAUCAACUAGCAACCUCAUGGGGAAGACAGAAAAAUGCUAAGCGUAAAAUACCGUAAAUAUGCUCUAAUAGAAAUAUCAACUAUGUAUUUUGAAAACAUACAGAUUCUAAGUCCCAAAACAACCAGGACCUGCUGUCUUGGCUACUGCUUUUAACUAUGUUGGUUAGCAAGAUGAUGACACAUAGUAGGUGUUCAAAAGAUAGAACAGGGAAUGUACUUUCUAAUUUUGUGAAAAAGAUGAGUAGCAAAGAAAUGAAAACAAAGAUUAUAUUUGAGCUGGGAUAUAAAGGAAUUUCUUUUUUCUUAACCUGUUUUAAUUUUGUUGUUUUUGUUUUGUGAAAAAAAAACACUGGAUGCUUCAAACACUUUCUCUUUCUACAGUGACCCCCACCUUUACAAGUGUCUGUAAUUCUCACUAGCAGUAUAUUAGAGGGCAAAAGAUUUGAACAGACACAUCAGAAAAGAAGACAUACAAAUGGCCGCUAAGCACUUGAAAGGAUUCUGAACACCAUUAGUCAUCAGUGAAAUGCAAAUUAAAGCCAUAAUGAAUGGCGCUAUACAUUUUCAGAAUGGCAAGGAUUGAAGACCGAAAAAAAUCAAGCGUUGAGGAGAGUGACAAAUGGGGAGACAGCCGUGGUGCAUGAUCGCCGAAUAAAUACCAUGUGAGGAUACAGCAAGAAGGUGGCCAUCUACAAGCCAAGGAGACAGGCCUCAGAAGAAACCAACCCUUCUUACACCCUGGACUCAGACUUCUAAUCUCCAGAACUUGUUAAUGCACAAGGUCUUGUGUUGAAAAUGUAGAGCCACGAGAUAAAAGCAGCUUGGAUGGCUGACUCAUAUACAAGGACAACUGCCUGAGAGUCACCAGGGCUAUCAAGAAGUUUGCAGAAACAAGAAAUAAACUUUUACUGUUUUAAACUUUUGUGAAUUUUGGGUUUUGUUUAUCACCAAAUAAACCUAGUCUAUUCUGAUUGUUAUAA
This is a long non-coding RNA of Homo sapiens (human), 1677 nucleotides long. Ensembl annotates it as PYDC2 antisense RNA 1. Its record names the gene PYDC2-AS1. The record is from Ensembl. NCBI's taxonomy places the organism in Eukaryota, Metazoa, Chordata, Mammalia, Primates, Hominidae.